This 759-nucleotide ribosomal RNA is filed under the name Escherichia coli. Its description in RNAcentral is "partial 23S ribosomal RNA". It matches the Rfam family "Bacterial large subunit ribosomal RNA", at positions 1 to 793 of the family's 2925-position model. The record is from RNAcentral. Lineage: Bacteria; Pseudomonadati; Pseudomonadota; Gammaproteobacteria; Enterobacterales; Enterobacteriaceae.
GGGUUGUGAGGUUAAGCGACUAAGCGUACACGGUGGAUGCCCUGGCAGUCAGAGGCGAUGAAGGACGUGCUAAUCUGCGAUAAGCGUCGGUAAGGUGAUAUGAACCGUUAUAACCGGCGAUUUCCGAAUGGGGAAACCCAGUGUGUUUCGACACACUAUCAUUAACUGAAUCCAUAGGUUAAUGAGGCGAACCGGGGGAACUGAAACAUCUAAGUACCCCGAGGAAAAGAAAUCAACCGAGAUUCCCCCAGUAGCGGCGAGCGAACGGGGAGGAGCCCAGAGCCUGAACCAGUGUGUGUGUUAGUGGAAGCGUCUGGAAAGGCGCGCGAUACAGGGUGACAGCCCCGUACACAAAAAUGCACAUGCUGUGAGCUCGAUGAGUAGGGCGGGACACGUGGUAUCCUGUCUGAAUAUGGGGGGACCAUCCUCCAAGGCUAAAUACUCCUGACUGACCGAUAGUGAACCAGUACCGUGAGGGAAAGGCGAAAAGAACCCCGGCGAGGGGAGUGAAAAAGAACCUGAAACCGUGUACGUACAAGCAGUGGGAGCACGCUUCGGCGUGUGACUGCGUACCUUUUGUAUAAUGGGUCAGCGACUUAUAUUCUGUAGCAAGGUUAACCGAAUAGGGGAGCCGAAGGGAAACCGAGUCUUAACUGGGCGUUAAGUUGCAGGGUAUAGACCCGAAACCCGGUGAUCUAGCCAUGGGCAGGUUGAAGGUUGGGUAACACUAACUGGAGGACCGAACCGACUAAUGUUGAA